RNAcentral lists this ribosomal RNA (468 nucleotides) under uncultured bacterium. RNAcentral's name for it is "partial 16S ribosomal RNA". It matches the Rfam family "Bacterial small subunit ribosomal RNA", at positions 28 to 507 of the family's 1533-position model. The record is from RNAcentral.
GACGAACGCUGGCCGCGUGCUUAACACAUGCAAGUCGAACGGAAAGGCCCUGCUUUUGUGGGGUGCUCGAGUGGCGAACGGGUGAGUAACACGUGAGUAACCUGCCCUUGACUUUGGGAUAACUUCAGGAAACUGGGGCUAAUACCGGAUAGGAGCUCCUGCUGCAUGGUGGGGGUUGGAAAGUUUCGGCGGUUGGGGAUGGACUCGCGGCUUAUCAGCUUGUUGGUGGGGUAGUGGCUUACCAAGGCUUUGACGGGUAGCCGGCCUGAGAGGGUGACCGGCCACAUUGGGACUGAGAUACGGCCCAGACUCCUACGGGAGGCAGCAGUGGGGAAUAUUGCACAAUGGGCGGAAGCCUGAUGCAGCAACGCAGCGUGCGGGAUGACGGCCUUCGGGUUGUAAACCGCUUUCGCCUGUGACGAAGCGUGAGUGACGGUAAUGGGUAAAGAAGCACCGGCUAACUACGUG